UUGGAAGCACUUUGUUCGUGCUCCAUUGAGGCUGAAUCUGAAAGCCAUUUUUUAAAUAUUCUAAUACUGCCAUUGGAGGUAGGGAGGAACAAAAAACAGGAAGGGAAGAUUUUGUUUAGAAAGCUUUCAUCUAUGGUGCUUACGACCUAAAUUUUGCCCUGUGCUGGAAUAUUCCAUUGUCCUUAUUACUCAAGCAGCUAUUUCCACAGCCAUAGGCUUGCGACAGCACCUGGCAGCAGCUUCAUGGAGCGAU
Long non-coding RNA from Gallus gallus (chicken), 253 nucleotides. The record is from Ensembl. Lineage: Eukaryota; Metazoa; Chordata; Aves; Galliformes; Phasianidae.